UCCCUUAUGGUCCAGUGGUUAAGAUUCAGGCUUUCACUGCCUUGUUCCCAGAUUCGAUCCCUGGUCGGGGAA
This 72-nucleotide transfer RNA is filed under the name Ovis aries (sheep). It matches the Rfam family "tRNA". From Rfam's summary of the family: Transfer RNA (tRNA) molecules are approximately 80 nucleotides in length. Their secondary structure includes four short double-helical elements and three loops (D, anti-codon, and T loops). Lineage: Eukaryota; Metazoa; Chordata; Mammalia; Artiodactyla; Bovidae. The record is from Rfam by way of RNAcentral.